This 255-nucleotide ribosomal RNA is filed under the name uncultured bacterium. Its description in RNAcentral is "partial 16S ribosomal RNA". It matches the Rfam family "Bacterial small subunit ribosomal RNA", at positions 524 to 776 of the family's 1533-position model. The record is from RNAcentral.
UACGAAGGGGGCUAGCGUUGUUCGGAUUUACUGGGCGUAAAGCGCACGUAGGCGGAUUGGUCAGUUAGAGGUGAAAUCCCGAAGCUCAACUUCGGAACUGCCUUUAAUACUGCCAAUCUAGAGUCCGGAAGAGGUGAGUGGAACUCCUAGUGUAGAGGUGGAAUUCGUAGAUAUUAGGAAGAACACCAGUGGCGAAGGGCGGCUCACCUGGUCCGGUACUGACGCUGAGGUGCGAAAGCGUGGGGAGCAACAGGG